Molecule: transfer RNA, 77 nt
Filed under: Pseudomonas aeruginosa
Lineage: Bacteria; Pseudomonadati; Pseudomonadota; Gammaproteobacteria; Pseudomonadales; Pseudomonadaceae
Also listed under: 2078 other names
Description: tRNA-Val
Rfam family: tRNA
About the family: Transfer RNA (tRNA) molecules are approximately 80 nucleotides in length. Their secondary structure includes four short double-helical elements and three loops (D, anti-codon, and T loops). Further hydrogen bonds mediate the characteristic L-shaped molecular structure. tRNAs have two regions of fundamental functional importance: the anti-codon, which is responsible for specific mRNA codon recognition, and the 3' end, to which the tRNAs corresponding amino acid is attached (by aminoacyl-tRNA synthetases). tRNAs cope with the degeneracy of the genetic code in two manners: having more than one tRNA (with a specific anti-codon) for a particular amino acid; and 'wobble' base-pairing, i.e. permitting non-standard base-pairing at the 3rd anti-codon position.
Source: RNAcentral
AGGCACGUAGCUCAGUUGGUUAGAGCACCACCUUGACAUGGUGGGGGUCGUUGGUUCGAGUCCAAUCGCGCCUACCA